This is a non-coding RNA of Ictidomys tridecemlineatus (thirteen-lined ground squirrel), 68 nucleotides long. The record is from Rfam. Lineage: Eukaryota; Metazoa; Chordata; Mammalia; Rodentia; Sciuridae.
GGGAUUGUGGCUCAGCAGUAGAGCACCUGCCUAGCAUGGGCAGGACCUGGGUUCGAUUCUCAGCACCA